This 69-nucleotide transfer RNA is filed under the name Fejervarya limnocharis (Boie's wart frog). Its description in RNAcentral is "tRNA-Trp". It matches the Rfam family "tRNA". Rfam says of the family: Transfer RNA (tRNA) molecules are approximately 80 nucleotides in length. Their secondary structure includes four short double-helical elements and three loops (D, anti-codon, and T loops). The record is from RNAcentral. Lineage: Eukaryota; Metazoa; Chordata; Amphibia; Anura; Dicroglossidae. RNAcentral also lists the same sequence under 1 other name.
AGAGACUUAGGAUAGAAAGACCAAGGGCCUUCAAAGCCCUAAGCAGGAGUUAAAGCCUCCUAGUUUCUG